Molecule: ribosomal RNA, 550 nt
Filed under: uncultured bacterium
Lineage: Bacteria
Description: bacterial SSU rRNA
Rfam family: Bacterial small subunit ribosomal RNA
Source: RNAcentral
UAGGGAAUCUUCCACAAUGGACGCAAGUCUGAUGGAGCAACGCCGCGUGAGUGAAGAAGGUCUUCGGAUCGUAAAACUCUGUUGUUAGAGAAGAACACGAGUGAGAGUAACUGUUCAUUCGAUGACGGUAUCUAACCAGCAAGUCACGGCUAACUACGUGCCAGCAGCCGCGGUAAUACGUAGGUGGCAAGCGUUGUCCGGAAUUAUUGGGCGUAAAGAGAGUGCAGGCGGUUUUCUAAGUCUGAUGUGAAAGCCUUCGGCUUAACCGGAGAAGUGCAUCGGAAACUGGAUAACUUGAGUGCAGAAGAGGGUAGUGGAACUCCAUGUGUAGCGGUGGAAUGCGUAGAUAUAUGGAAGAACACCAGUGGCGAAGGCGGCUACCUGGUCUGCAACUGACGCUGAGACUCGAAAGCAUGGGUAGCGAACAGGAUUAGAUACCCUGGUAGUCCAUGCCGUAAACGAUGAGUGCUAAGUGUUGGGAGGUUUCCGCCUCUCAGUGCUGCAGCUAACGCAUUAAGCACUCCGCCUGGGGAGUACGACCGCAAGGUUG